GAUGAACGCUGGCGGCGUGCCUAAUACAUGCAAGUCGAGCGAACAGAUGAGGAGCUUGCUCCUCUGACGUUAGCGGCGGACGGGUGAGUAACACGUGGAUAACCUACCUAUAAGACUGGGAUAACUUCGGGAAACCGGAGCUAAUACCGGAUAAUAUAUUGAACCGCAUGGUUCAAUAGUGAAAGACGGUUUUGCUGUCACUUAUAGAUGGAUCCGCGCCGCAUUAGCUAGUUGGUAAGGUAACGGCUUACCAAGGCAACGAUGCGUAGCCGACCUGAGAGGGUGUUCGCCGCCACUGGAACUGAGACACGGUCCAGACUCCUACGGGAGGCAGCAGUAGGGAAUCUUCCGCAAUGGGCGAAAGCCUGACGGAGCAACGCCGCGUGAGUGAUGAAGGUCUUCGGAUCGUAAAACUCUGUUAUUAGGGAAGAACAAAUGUGUAAGUAACUAUGCACGUCUUGACGGUACCUAAUCAGAAAGCCACGGCUAACUACGUG
RNAcentral lists this ribosomal RNA (497 nucleotides) under uncultured bacterium. Its description in RNAcentral is "partial 16S ribosomal RNA". It matches the Rfam family "Bacterial small subunit ribosomal RNA", at positions 28 to 507 of the family's 1533-position model. The record is from RNAcentral.